CACACUACCACACGUACACCUGCUUCCAACUUCCAAUUCAUCUCUCUAUAUAAACACAUUCAAGUUCCCUAACUGUCCAUAACCAUAAAGCCCUUCACUUCCCAAACAAUCCCGCAAACUAAAUCACGGAACUAAAAUUCCCAUUCUUCAUUCCUAAUCAGUUUCCUUGAAGACGGUUUCUUUCGAGUAUAUAUAUUCUGGGUAGCUUCUUAGCUUCUUUGCUAGGUUCUGUUUUCUUCAUGAUCAUCAGUACUACACUGGGUGGAAACAAAAAGGUCAAGCCUUUAAAGAGUAAUGGGUUUGGAAACGGUGCGUUUCAGCCGGAAAUGAAGGUGGAGAAAAGUACCGACGUUGUCAUUGUCGGUGCCGGAGUUGCCGGUGCUGCUCUUGCUUACACUCUUGCCAAGGAAGGACGUCAUGUACACGUCAUCGAAAGAGACUUGAGUGAGCCAGAUAGAAUUGUUGGUGAGUUGUUGCAGCCUGGAGGUUAUCUCAAGUUGAUUGAGUUGGGUCUUGAGGAGUGUGCAAAUGAGUCAAUUGAUGCUCAGAAGGUGUUUGGUUAUGCUCUUUACAAAGAUGGGAAGGAUACAAAGCUGACUUAUCCCUUGGAAAAAUACAGUUCAGAUGUGGCUGGGAGAAGUUUCCACAAUGGCAGUUUCAUCCAAAGAAUGUGUGAAAAAGCUGCAACUCUCUCAAAUGUGAAAUUGGAACAAGGAUCAGUGACAACACUAAUCGAGGAAAAGGGCAUUGUCAAGAGGAUGAUUUACAAGAACAAGGCUGGAGAGGAGAUGAGAACAUAUGCUCCACUAACAAUUGUGUGCGAUGGCUGCCUUUCAUAUCUGCGCAAAUCUCUUAGUGCACCGAAGGUUGAAAGUCCCUCUUGUUUUGUUGGUUUGAUCUUGGAGAACUGUGAGCUUCCACAUGCAAAUCAUGGACAUGUCAUUUUGGGAGAUCCUUCACUUAUCUUGUUUUAUCCCAUCAGUAGCACAGAAGUUCGCUGUUUGGUGGAUGUACCUGGAACCAAAGUACCUUCAGUAGCUAAUGGUGAAAUGGCUAACUAUUUGAAAACUAUGGUGGCUGCUGAGAUUCCCCCACAGCUGCACAAUGCUUUUAUGGUCACACUAGAGAAAGGAAACAUCAGAACAAUGCAAAACAAAAGCAUGGCUGCUAAUCCUGUCCCCACUCCUGGUGCAAUUUUAUUGGGGGAUGCAUUCAACAUGAGGCAUCCUUUAACAGGAGGAGGGAAUGACUCUGGCUCUUUCAGACCUUGUUCUUCUCCGUGAUCUUCUUAGACCCCUAUGUGAUCUCAAUGACGCACCAGCUUUGUGUAAUUACCUAGAAUCAUUCUAUACACUGCGUAAGGUGCUUUGUACAAGGUGUUUUGUGCAUCACCUGAUUUGGCAAGACAGGAAAUGCGCGAAGCAUGUUUUGGCUAUUUGUGCCUUGGAGAUGAAAAGUUGUUGUGUACUUGUACAAACAUGAUUGAUCUCUGGCUCUGUGGUAAGUGUUUGUGUUUCAAGAACAAACUGGAUUAACAUAAGUACUCCAUUGUUCGAUUGUUAUCUAUUAGAAUUUCACCGAAAGAGAGGAAAUCGUUAAUUAACUCAUUAUUGCAAUCUGCAAAUAUGUGAAUGGUUUAUAUUUGAAAGGUCUUUGCUAGCACUCUUCAAUACUAACAUAUUCCAGCUGGUAGUCACCAAUUUUUCAAGCUAUAGUCCACUUUAUGGAUUGAUUAUCUAGCUAGCAAGUAGCAACUAUUUCCCAGAAAGAGAGAGAGGGAAAAAAAAAACCAACACUAAUUCUACUCAGACAUGCCAAAUAUAUGGAUAAGCAUAGUUAUAUGCAGCACUAGUCACAUUGCUCAUCUAGUCAGAUUACCCGACUUUUAGAGUAAUAUUAUGAGGUUGAAUUAGAAUAAAACCAACUAAUGAAUCCCCAGCUCGUUACCACUAUUUGGGUAGUCAGCACUAGCUUUUCUGGCUAACCACAGGUUCACAAAUUUGUGUUUUUAAUAUAAAAAAGGGCAACCUUGUUACUUCUAAUGUCAUGCUGG
Rosa chinensis is the source of this 2053-nucleotide RNA transcript. It is a transcript of the gene named squalene monooxygenase SE1, with no coding region annotated. The record is from RefSeq and is a predicted model, not a curated record. Lineage: Eukaryota; Viridiplantae; Streptophyta; Magnoliopsida; Rosales; Rosaceae. The transcript has 7 exons.